RNAcentral lists this ribosomal RNA (396 nucleotides) under uncultured bacterium. RNAcentral's name for it is "partial 16S ribosomal RNA". It matches the Rfam family "Bacterial small subunit ribosomal RNA", at positions 361 to 774 of the family's 1533-position model. The record is from RNAcentral.
AUAGUGGAUAAUGGGCUCAAGCCUGAUCCUGUCAUGCCGUGUGAGUUUUGUAUUGCCUAGGGUCGUAAAGCUCUUUCAACGGUCAAGAUAAUGACGGUAACCGUAGAUGAAGCCCCGGCUAACUUCGAGCUAGCAGCCGCGGUAAUACGAAGGGGUCUAGCAUUGUUCGGAAUUACUGGGCGUAAACUGCACGUAGGCGGAUUGGUCAGUUAGGAGUGAACUCCCAGGGCUCAACCCUGGAGCUGCCUUUAAUAAUGCCGGUCUAGAAUUCGAGAGAAGUGAGUGGAAUUCCGAAUGUAGAGGUGAAAUUCGUAGAUAUUCGGAGGAACACCAGUGGCGAAGGCGGCUCACUGGCUCGAUACUGACGCUGAGGUGCGAAAGCGUGGGGAGCAAACA